GUCAUGCCGCGGAUACCUCCGCAAUGCUCCGCCGGCGGCGCCGCCUCCCCGUCUUCCGGAUUGCAAGUCCGAUUCCUCCGGAGAAGCAGAUCGAACUAUUUUCUUGAUUUGUUUUUUUUCUUUUGGCUAAUUUGGUCGAUCAAGUUUGGAGUUUGUGCGGAUGUGGAGGUCGAUAAGAUGGCUCCGUUAGGGAAAUCAAGGACGCUGUCGAGGAUCUCUUCGGCCAGUUCUCCGAGGAUGGAAGCGACGCCAUUCCCUGCUCCAUUUUAUCACGCACGUUUCUCCUAAUCAAGAAUCAACAAAAAAAAAAAGGAGAAAUAGGAGAUCAGCAACGAACCAACACAGGAUCUGAGGUUCUACAAACUAUAUUAUCGUUUUUCACGAGCUGGUUCAAAAGAACAUGUUUAGUUGAGAAGCACAAGAAUGGAGAUUGUGGCAGAGUUGAUUCUAGUCUAUCUGUAAGUUAGCACAAUCACGAUUCUGAAAAUGAACUAUUGCUUCCUAUAUAAUUGAAAAAAAA
Long non-coding RNA from Zingiber officinale, 520 nucleotides. RefSeq lists it as uncharacterized. The record is from RefSeq and is a predicted model, not a curated record. Lineage: Eukaryota; Viridiplantae; Streptophyta; Magnoliopsida; Zingiberales; Zingiberaceae. The transcript is spliced from 3 exons.